This 1531-nucleotide long non-coding RNA is filed under the name Felis catus (domestic cat). Its description in RNAcentral is "lncRNA (ENSFCAG00000050228.1)". The record is from RNAcentral. Lineage: Eukaryota; Metazoa; Chordata; Mammalia; Carnivora; Felidae.
GCAUAAUUGAUCCUCCAGUUAGGCCAAGGCAAGGAAUUUGUUUACAGUGUCCAUCCCUGGUUUGUUUUGGUUCAUGAAGGCUCUGUUCUAUCAUUUAACAUGAGUAGCAGUCAGAAAUGCCAAAGUUGGCUGGCCAGGAACCAGAGAUGAGGUACAACCCUUGGAAAUACCUUCAUUUUUAUUCAAGUGUGUUGAUAAGGUGGGUCUCUACUAUCUAGGUUAUAGAUAAAAUACAAUGAAAUGCCAUGAGUCUGUAGCAUUAGUUUUUAUUUAAUAGGUCUAGAUGUGGUUUUAUAAUAAAAAUGUCCCCUGACUUAGAUCAGUAAGGGUGUGAUCUCCUUUCUUUUGAAGUCUUUUGAAGUCUUAUUUCUUGGCUUUAGGAUCCAUCAUCCUUGCUCAGUCGGUUUGGUUUGUUCCUAUGUUCUUUAAGUGUUGGGCUACUUUGUUGGGAUUGUGUGAAUCAAAGUCUACAAGAGAUUGAUUUAGGAUGUUUUCUUUCUCCAGUCACUACAGGAAAAAGCUCCAUUCCUACUCUUUGGCCCUUGUGGAGGAAGGGCUAGACUGUGCCAGCUUCCUUUCGAGUUUGGGACAAACCAAAGAAUUGAACAUAACGUGUCACCUAGUAGCAAGAUUCCUGGUGGCAGCAACUGUUCUAGGAUCUGGUGGCAGUUUAGAUGGAGCAGCUACAAAGUAUCUGGCAGAGAAGAUGACAUUUGAGUAAAGUUCCAAAGAUCAUCAAAGGAUAAGCCAUGCAGAUAUCUGAUGCAAAAGUGUUUGAAGCAAAGGAAGGAAGCAACAAAAUCCCUAAGGUAGGAAUGGGCCUGAUGUAUUUAAGCAAAAGCAAAGAGGCAAUAAGGGUAGAGCUGAAUGAGUGCAGGGUUAGGCAGAAGAUGAGAGAGACUGGGGGCAGAGAACAUAUUGAAUACGUAUAAUAGGCUACUAUAAAGACUUCCAGUUUAGCCUGAGGGUAGGGGAUGAGAGAAGUUGAACAGAGAAGUGACAUGAUAUGAUUUAUACUUUAGUUUCAUCAGAAUCCCUUCUCAUUGCCAUGUUAGAGAAUAGGUCUGCUAAUUGACCAGGUGGAAAAAGGGAGACUAGUCAGAAUGCUAUUGCAAUUAUCAUUAUGAGAGAGGAUGUUGGCUUGGACCAUGGCAGCCUUGAAUUGGAUAAGGAGUAGACUAAUUCCAGAUUUAGUUAGAAGAUGGAGCCAACAUCAUUUGUUAACAUAAUGAAUAUGGAAUGAGAACAGCAGAGAGGAGUCAGGAUGGCAUAAAGGUUUUGGAGUGAUGAACUGGAAGAGUGAAGUAGCUGUUUGCUGAAAUGGGGAAGACCAAAAGAGGAGAAAGUUUGGCUUAAAAUCAAGAAUUUAGUUUGGACACGUCAAGUUAAAAUGACCCUUAGACAUUUGCAUCAGUUCAUUGCUUCUCAGCUGCAAAAAUGCUUUGUGGUAAACAAUGGAAUUCCUUUAAGCAUUUCUUUUUUAAAGUGAGAAUAGUGUUAAGCUUUUUAAAUAAAGAGGGAUGGAGGGACA